GAAAUGCGAUAAGUAAUGUGAAUUGCAGAAUUCAGUGAAUCAUCGAAUCUUUGAACGCACAUUGCGCCCAUUAGUAUUCUAGUGGGCAUGCCUGUUCGAGCGUCAUUUCAACCCCUAAGCACAGCUUAUUGUUGGGCGUCUACGUCUGUAGUGCCUCAAAGACAUUGGCGGAGCGGCAGCAGUCCUCUGAGCGUAGUAAUUCUUUAUCUCGCUUCUGUUAGGCGCUGCCCCCCCGGCCGUAAACCCCCCAAUUUUUUCUGGUUGACCUCGGAUCAGGUAGGAAUACCCGCUGAACUUAAGC
This 301-nucleotide unclassified non-coding RNA is filed under the name plant metagenome. RNAcentral's name for it is "partial contains 5.8S ribosomal RNA, internal transcribed spacer 2, and large subunit ribosomal RNA". The stretch from base 1 to 105 matches the Rfam family "5.8S ribosomal RNA", at positions 50 to 154 of the family's 154-position model. The record is from RNAcentral.